AGUGGGGAAUAUUGGACAAUGGGCGCAAGCCUGAUCCAGCCAUGCCGCGUGAGUGAUGAAGGCCCUAGGGUUGUAAAGCUCUUUCGGCGGGGACGAUAAUGACGGUACCCGCAGAAGAAGCCCCGGCUAACUUCGUGCCAGCAGCCGCGGUAAUACGAAGGGGGCUAGCGUUGUUCGGAAUCACUGGGCGUAAAGCGCAUGCAGGCGGAUCGUUAAGUCGGGGGUGAAAGCCCGAGGCUCAACCUCGGAACUGCCUUCGAUACUGGCGAUCUUGAGUCCGGGAGAGGUGAGUGGAAUUGCGAGUGUAGAGGUGAAAUUCGUAGAUAUUCGCAAGAACACCAGUGGCGAAGGCGGCUCACUGGCCCGGUACUGACGCUGAGAUGCGAAAGCGUGGGGAGCAAA
RNAcentral lists this ribosomal RNA (402 nucleotides) under uncultured Bauldia sp. RNAcentral describes it as "bacterial SSU rRNA". It matches the Rfam family "Bacterial small subunit ribosomal RNA", at positions 353 to 772 of the family's 1533-position model. The record is from RNAcentral. Lineage: Bacteria; Pseudomonadati; Pseudomonadota; Alphaproteobacteria; Hyphomicrobiales; Kaistiaceae.